This 402-nucleotide ribosomal RNA is filed under the name uncultured prokaryote. RNAcentral describes it as "bacterial SSU rRNA". It matches the Rfam family "Bacterial small subunit ribosomal RNA", at positions 355 to 774 of the family's 1533-position model. The record is from RNAcentral.
UAGGGAAUAUUAGAAAUGGACGAAAGUCUGAUCUAGCAACACCGCGUGUGCGAUGAAGGCCUUCGGGUUGUAAAGCACUUUUUGGAAGGAUUAGGAAGGAAUGUACUUCCAGAAUAAGUCUCGGCUAACUACGUGCCAGCAGCCGCGGUAACACGUAGGAGGCGAACGUUAUCCGGAUUUACUGGGCGUAAAGCGCGUGUAGGUGGUUCUGUAAGUAGGGCGUGAAAGCUCCUGGCUCAACUGGGAGAGGCCGUUCUAAACUGCAGAGCUAGAGGAUGGUAGAGGGAGGUGGAAUUCCGGGUGUAGCGGUGGAAUGCGCAGAUAUCCGGAGGAACACCAGUGGCGAAGGCGGCCUCCUAGACCAUUCCUGACACUCAGACGCGAAGGCUAGGGUAGCAAACG